AUACGGAAGGUGCAAGCGUUAAUCGGAAUCACUGGGCGUAAAGCGCUCGUAGGUGGCUUUGUAAGUCAGGGGUGAAAUCCCGCAGCUCAACUGCGGAAUUGCCCUUGAUACUGCUGGACUUGAGUUCGGGAGAGGGUGGCGGAAUUCCAGGUGUAGGAGUGAAAUCCGUAGAGAUCUGGAGGAACACCAGUGGCGAAGGCGACUACCUGGACCGAUACUGACACUGAGGAGCGAAAGCGUGGGGAGC
Molecule: ribosomal RNA, 247 nt
Filed under: uncultured bacterium
Lineage: Bacteria
Description: partial 16S ribosomal RNA
Rfam family: Bacterial small subunit ribosomal RNA
Source: RNAcentral